AUUAUUGACCUCCUUGAGUCAUUGACCUCCUUGAGUCUUUAAAUCUUAACAAAUCAAGCACACUGCUAGGCAUAAAUGAAAAGGAAAAAUAUUGACGAGAAGAGACAAAUUUAUAACUUAAUGCUCAUCAAACCUAUUAUUAAGCCCCGGCCAUUACUUGGAAAAAAAAUUAUGUUUUAAAUAGUGAUUUUUAGGAGAAUGUGUAAUUAAAAAAUAGGAAAAAGUCUUAAAUUUACGUAUAAAAUAUUUUAUUGUAUAAAUGUAUGGUUGAAAUGAACAUGUUGAAAAAAAAGUUUUUAAAUAAUGGCCAUCAAACAGGCACUGACUAUGCUUUUUAAAUAUGGUCGAAUGGUGGUAAACGUAAUCGUUGUGUAAUAAUUUGAAAAGAUCUUAUAUUAAUGAUAGGCGAAUAUUAGUCCACCACACUAGAAUGACAAUAUUCUCUAUCACUUUACCCUCAGGCUUAGAAGCAAUGUUUGCUGAACUUAGACUCUUCUCGCAUGCUGCAAUUCAGGUACACAUUUGCAAACCAUUUCAUCUCUUUCGUGACCUUUAGCAAUAAUGCAGCACAGAAAUUAUUUUCGUCUCUUUGUUGGAACUAAUUUUAUUGGGUUUAGGAGUUUGUUAUUAAUUUGCUUUUCCUUGUAGUUCAUGGAGUUACCUUGAAAGUGAUUGUUUUGUCUUUUUCUUCUGUUGCAGAUGGCUUUCACCUUUUUGGUUUAUCCGGCACUCACAUUGGCAUAUAUAGGUCAAGAAGCUUACUUAUCAAAACAUCACCACACAAUUCACGACAUUGAUUUUUAUGUCUCUGUUCCAGCCUAGGAAUAGCUUGGGUCCCUGGCAUUGGCAUUGUGUUCACUGAUUUGACCUCCGGUAUACCUACCAAUUUUUCUCGUUUUGUCACCAAUCUCCCUGCUUUCCACCUUCUCUUUGUUUUCGUAUGUAUAAAAUAUGUAUCAAUACCAUUUGUCCCACCAGCCGAGAGGUACCUCAUGGGAUGUUCAU
RNAcentral lists this long non-coding RNA (1005 nucleotides) under Olea europaea subsp. europaea. The record is from RNAcentral. Lineage: Eukaryota; Viridiplantae; Streptophyta; Magnoliopsida; Lamiales; Oleaceae.